AUGAAAUGUAGUACGAUUACAAAUACUAUUGCAAUCAUGCCAAGUAUUUCUCACAUUCUUGAAAUGAAAUUUGGCAACGCGCAGGACAUCAUCUACUCCAAACCAGUUACACUUACAAAUAUGACUUUUGAGGCCCUCUACAAUACACACAUAAUUCAAGAGACUGGUAACAUUUUACAAAUAUUAAGCUCCAGUCGGCAUAACCAGCAACACUCUGAUGGUAAACAUGGCAAGUGCAAUCACAAAACGACUCGGAUAAACAUCAGGGAAUCCACUAGGAUUUUCUCCUCUACUAGAGCAAGGCUCUCAACCAAAUUCCACCAGAAACAGAACAAGCAGAAGACGGAAAAUUCACUUUUAUAG
This 363-nucleotide ribosomal RNA is filed under the name Triticum aestivum (bread wheat). RNAcentral describes it as "partial small subunit ribosomal RNA". The record is from RNAcentral. Lineage: Eukaryota; Viridiplantae; Streptophyta; Magnoliopsida; Poales; Poaceae.